RNAcentral lists this transfer RNA (68 nucleotides) under Marmota monax (woodchuck). Its description in RNAcentral is "tRNA.Ala". The record is from RNAcentral. Lineage: Eukaryota; Metazoa; Chordata; Mammalia; Rodentia; Sciuridae.
GGAUUGUGGCUCAGAGGUAGAGCGCUUGCCUGGCAUGCGUGAGGCCCUGGGUUCGAUCCACAACACCA